Molecule: ribosomal RNA, 251 nt
Filed under: uncultured prokaryote
Description: partial 16S rRNA
Rfam family: Bacterial small subunit ribosomal RNA
Source: RNAcentral
ACGAACCGUACGAACGUUAUUCGGAAUCACUGGGCUUAAAGGGUGCGUAGGCGGCGCGGAAAGUUGGGUGUGAAAGCCCUCGGCUCAACCGAGGAAUUGCGCCCAAAACUUCCGUGCUUGAGGGAGAUAGAGGUGAGCGGAACUUAGGGUGGAGCGGUGAAAUGCGUUGAUAUCCUAAGGAACACCGGUGGCGAAAGCGGCUCACUGGAUCUCUUCUGACGCUGAGGCACGAAAGCUAGGGUAGCGAACGG